UACAGAGGGUGCUAGCGUUAAUCGGAUUUACUGGGCGUAAAGCGUGUGUAGGCGGUUUGUUAAGUCGGGUGUGAAAUCCCUGGGCUCAACCUGGGAAUUGCAUUCGAUACUGGCAAGCUAGAGUACGGUAGAGGGCGGCGGAAUUCCGGGCGUAGCGGUGAAAUGCGUAGAUAUCCGGAGGAACACCGGUGGCGAAGGCGGCAUCCUGGACCGGUAUUGACGCUGAGGCGCGAAAGCGUGGGGAGCGAACAGG
Molecule: ribosomal RNA, 253 nt
Filed under: uncultured bacterium
Lineage: Bacteria
Description: partial 16S ribosomal RNA
Rfam family: Bacterial small subunit ribosomal RNA
Source: RNAcentral